AUGGGUACCGUCCUGUCUAGCAGGAGCAUGUGUGCCCAGUAUAAAGAAGGCUACCCCAGGGCUGCCGGUCCAACCCCAGAGUGUCCAGAUCCCCAUCCCAGGAUAGCCCAGCCCAAGCCAGGCCAUAGUGCUGGUCACUUCCAGGAGGAGCAGGGGACAAUGAAGCAGCGCCCUGAACGACCUCAAAGGACCCCUGAUCAGGUCAGGCCAAGCAUCACGGACAGCGCCGGGACCUCAUCCUCGCUGUGCUUAAAGGCCAAAGCCUCCAAGCGUGACCUUGGCCAAGCUUUUGCCCCUGGGCCUCCCUUGGUGGCUGCCCACUUCCUGAGCCUGUUUUCCCACCUCCUGUCAAUUCUGAGCUCCCCAGUCACCAGCGUGGGGUUUCUAUUGCUUGAGCCGAACAUGCACGUUUGCCUUCGUGUGACGCCAGCUGUUUCAGCGGCCAGCCCCUUCUUCCCUGGUCGCGGGGACUCAGAAAGCGCGGCUGUUCCGCGCCCGUCUCGCACCUCGCCUUCGCCUGCCGCCACGUACCGCUACCUGGGCGAAGCGCUGCUGCUGGCCCGGCCCGGCCCGCCGCCCUGGGCUCGGCGGCCGAGGACUCCGCAGCGCUGCGGGGCGGAGCCGGGGACAGCCCGCCGCCGCCCCGCAGCCGGGCUUGCAUUGGCCGCCACGCGCUACUACAGCGAGGCAGUGGCCGACCGUGAGGACGACCCCAACUUCUUCAAGACGGUGGAGGGCUUCUUCCACCGUGACGCCAGCAUUGUGGCGGACAAGCUGGCGGAGGGCCUGAGGACCCGGGAGAGCGGGGAGCGGACCCGGGCGCGCCGCAUCCUGCGGAUCACCAAGCCCUGCAACCACGUGCUGAGCCUCUCCUUCCCUAUCCGGAGCGACGACGGCUCCUGGGAGGUCAUGGAAGGCUGGGAGGUCACCAGGCCCAGCACAGCCAGCACCGCACGCCCUGCAAGGGAGGUGUCCGUCACAGCACUGCUUGAGUGUAGAUGAAGUACAAGCUUUGGCUUCUCUGAUGACAUACAAAUGUGCAGUGGUUGAUGGGCCGUUUGGGGGCGCUAAAGCUGGUGCUAAGAUCAAUCCCAAGAACUAUACCGAUAAUGAAUUGGACAAGACCACAAGGAGGUUCACCACGGAGCUGGCAAAGAAGGGCUUUAUUGGUCCUGGCAUUGAUGUCCCUGCCUCAGACAUGAGCACAGGUGAGCGGGAGAUGUCCUGGAUCGCUGAUAUCUAUGCCAGCACCAUAGGCCACAAGAUAUUAGUGCACAUGGGUGUGUUACUGGUAAACCCAUCAGUCAAGGGGGCAUCCCCAGACGCAUUUCUGCUACUGGCUGUGGUGUCUCCCAUGGGGUUGAAAACUUCAUCAGUGAAGCUUCUUACAUGAGCAUUUUAGGAAUGACACCAGGAUUUGGAGAUAAAACAUUUGUUGUUCAGGGAUUUGGUAAUGUGGGCCUAAACUCUGAGAUAUUUACAUCGUUUUGGUGCUAAAUGUAUUGUUGUUGGUGAGUCUGAUGCGAGUAUAUGGAAUCCAGAUGGCUUUGACCCAAAGGAACUGGAAGACUUCAAAUUGCAACAUGGGUCCAUUCUGGGCUUCCCCAGGGCAAAGCCCUAGGGAGGAAGCAUCUUGGAGGCUGACUGUGACAUACUGAUCCCAGCUGCCAGUGAGAAGCAGUUGACCAAAUCCAACGCACCCAGAGUCAAAGCCAAGAUUGUUGAUGUAAGUGCCAAUGGGCCAGCAACUCCAGAAGCUGAUAAGAUCUUCCUGGAGAGAAACAUUAUGGUUAUUCCAGAUCUCUACUUGAAUGCUGGAGGAGUGACAGUAUCAUACUUUGAGUGGCUGAAGAAUCUAAAUCAUGUCAGCUAUGGCCAUUUGACCUUCAAAUAUGAAAGGAAUUCUAACUACCACUUGUUCAAGUCUGUUCAAGAGAGUUUAGAAAGAAAACUUGGAAAGCAUGGUGGAACUAUUCUCAUUGUACCUACGGCAGAGUUCCAAGAUAGGAUAUCGGGUGCAUCUGAGAAAGGCAUCGUGCACUCUGGCUUGGCGUACACAAUGGAGCAUUCUGCCAGGCAAAGUAUGCACACAGUCAUGAAAUACAACCUGGGAUUGGACCUGAGAACAGCUGCCUAUGUCAAUGCCAUUGAGAAAGUCUUCAAAGUGUACAAUGAAGCUGAUGUGACCUUCACAUAGAUGGAUCGUGGCUGACUUCCUCACUACCCUCUUCAUCUGUAGCUUCUGCAGACCUAUCACGAGUUUACAUGUAAGCACAGAAAUCUCUUUCUCUCCGACUCAUUAGUAACGGAUACCAUUCUCAACAAGUCAAUCCAAAUCAACCCCUUAAGAAGAAAGAAAUUAAGGUUAGGGGAUCAUGUACAAGCUGAGUGUGAAAGUAGACAUCACCUACACCAGAGAGCCAUUUUGGUAUUUUGCCUUUAAAUAAAAAGUCUCCUCCAUCUGG
Molecule: RNA transcript, 2465 nt
Organism: Sapajus apella (tufted capuchin)
Lineage: Eukaryota; Metazoa; Chordata; Mammalia; Primates; Cebidae
Gene name: glutamate dehydrogenase 1, mitochondrial-like
Exons: 4
Source: RefSeq, a predicted model, not a curated record